Molecule: long non-coding RNA, 1400 nt
Filed under: Numida meleagris (helmeted guineafowl)
Lineage: Eukaryota; Metazoa; Chordata; Aves; Galliformes; Numididae
Description: lncRNA (ENSNMEG00000023062.1)
Source: RNAcentral
CUCAAGUCUCCUGGAACCUGAGCAGGCACAGCCACCUCCAGAAUCAUUAAGGUUGGACAACAAGACCACUAAGGUCAUGUAGUCCAACCACCAACCCAUCACUGCCAUGCUCACUAACCACGUCACUCGGAAGGACCAAGACAAAGCCAAGUCUUUGCGCUAUGUUCCCCUUCAAACCUGCUGUCACACCAGCCUGGUUCUCACUUUAGCUGGAUGUUCAUCAGCUUUCUGUGGGUCUUACGGCCUCCAAAAGAAACACAGAGAGGCACUCGCCACCGCUUCAUGCACGGGCCCUGAUGCCCCUGUGCGCCGGGAGGUGACAGUCCAGAGGCAUGCAUUGAAAUCCUCAUGUGGAAGCAUGCUGGGACGGUGCCACGCACUUCAGAGAAACAGAUGUUGAAAGCUUCUGGAUGACAGAGCAGGAGAGGCCCUUAUGCUGUAAGGAAUCAGUGAUCACAAGGUAAGUUUGUUUUUUUACUUCAUGUUUAAGCCGUCUCUAAAAGAAAGCUGUGUCAGAGGUUGUGGUAGUGUAUUAGAGCUAUGGGUAGCAUAGUGUAGUUGCUUUGCAGGAAGUUGUGGCUGAUUUUCUCUUUAACCGAAGCCAUCCCAUGAUUGUGUGGUGGAUGGGGAAGGGUUUUGUUGUUAGAAAAGAUGGUUGAACAUCUUGGGGUAGGUCAUUAGAAGAUGCUGUAGUAGGAGGUUGCUCAGGAGAAAGGUAUGUGGGUCCUUUCAGGGGAACUUGUUCUCAUAGUCCUGAUUUUUAGAGGCAUAACCUGAAUAUUAAUUAGAAGAUCAAUGUAUCUAGGUGUGAAAUUUCAUUCCUGUCUUGGUUAAGCUGUACUGGAGAGUGGCAUGUUUCUGCUGUGGGUGCAUUGUACCCUUGUUCUUUAGAGGUCUCAAGCGCUCCUGUCAUAGUUGCAGGUAAAUAGGGGACCUUGCUAAAAAGGCUCAGCUUCUACAGCAGCCUUUACAAAUGAGAGAUCUUGCCUGAAAGCAAGAAAGAUGAAAUUAAGACAAGUGCAAAGUGCUCCUUUUAGACAGGCAAAACAGAAGACAAACACAAAACAGGGAAUGCGUGAUGAGGCAGCAGUACAGCAGGUGAGGACCUGGGGUUUGUGCUGCUUCACAAGCAGAAUACGAAUCAACCCUGCACUGCUGCUGCAAAACAGCUCAUUGUACCCAACGCUGUAUUAACGAGAGUGCUCUUUGCCAGAUAUGAGAGGCAAUUAUUGCAAUCUGCUUGGGGCUGGCAGAGCUUCAGCCAAGUGUGGGUGUCUGGAACUGAUGAGAAACUUUGUCUACACCCAUUCAAAAAUUGGGAGGGAUAGUCCAGUGAGGGAUGGGGAAGGUGAAUGAUAAGAGGUUAGGCAAACAAGUACUGUAAACAAUGCUUGAAGACA